GUAGUCCACGCCGUAAACGUUGGGCGCUAGGUGUGGGGGUCCUUCCACGACCUCCGUGCCGCAGCUAACGCAUUAAGCGCCCCGCCUGGGGAGUACGGCCGCAAGGCUAAAACUCAAAGGAAUUGACGGGGGCCCGCACAAGCGGCGGAGCAUGUGGCUUAAUUCGACGCAACGCGAAGAACCUUACCAAGGCUUGACAUGCAGGGAAAUCCCCCAGAGAUGGGGGGUCCGCAAGGGCCCUGCACAGGUGGUGCAUGGUUGUCGUCAGCUCGUGUCGUGAGAUGUUGGGUUAAGUCCCGCAACGAGCGCAACCCUCGUCCAAUGUUGCCAGCGGGUAAUGCCGGGGACUCAUUGGAGACUGCCGGGGUCAACUCGGA
RNAcentral lists this ribosomal RNA (377 nucleotides) under uncultured bacterium. RNAcentral describes it as "bacterial SSU rRNA". It matches the Rfam family "Bacterial small subunit ribosomal RNA", at positions 790 to 1167 of the family's 1533-position model. The record is from RNAcentral.